CUAUUGGGUUGUUGCUUGUUGAG
This 23-nucleotide non-coding RNA is filed under the name Arabidopsis thaliana (thale cress). The record is from RNAcentral. Lineage: Eukaryota; Viridiplantae; Streptophyta; Magnoliopsida; Brassicales; Brassicaceae.